UUGGAGGGCAAGUCUGGUGCCAGCAGCCGCGGUAAUUCCAGCACCAAUAGCGUAUAUUAAAGUUGUUGCAGUUAAAAAGCUCGUAGUUGAAUUUCGGGGUCAGUAGGUUGGUCAUGCCACUGGUAUGUACUGGUCUCACUGAUUCCUCCUUCCUGAUGAGCCGUAAUGCCAUUAAUUUGGUGUUGCGAGGAAUCUGGACUGUUACUUUGAAAAAAUUAGAGUGUUUAAAGCAAGCUAACGCUUGAAUACAUUAGCAUGGAAUAAUGAAAUAGGACGUUCGAUCCUAUUUUGUUGGUUUCUAGGAUUGACGUAAUGAUUAAUAGGGAUAGUUGGGGGCAUUAGUAUUCAAUUGUCAGAGGUGAAAUUCUUGGAUUUAUUGAAGACUAACUACUGCGUAAGCAUUUGCCAAGGAUGUUUUCAUUAAUCAAGAACGAAAGUUAGGGGAUCGAAGACGAUCAGAUACCGUCGUAGUCUUAACCAUAAACUAUGCCGGCUAGGGAUCGGAUGAUGUUAAUUUUUUAAUGACUCAUUCGGCGCCUUACGGGAAACCAAAGUGUUUGGGUUC
Molecule: ribosomal RNA, 565 nt
Filed under: uncultured Glomeromycotina
Lineage: Eukaryota; Fungi; Glomeromycota
Description: SSU rRNA
Rfam family: Eukaryotic small subunit ribosomal RNA
Source: RNAcentral